AGCUCCAAUAGCGUAUAUUAAAGUUGCUGCAGUUAAAAAGCUCGUAGUUGCAUUUCCGAGGCAAGGGAUUAGUCCGACCUUUGGUGGGUAUUUAAUCCUCUUGCCUCGUCCUUGAGUGGUGCUUCUUGGUAUUAAGUUAUCGAGGAGAUAGCCGCUCAUCGUUUACUGUGAGAAAAUUAGAGUGUUCAAAGCAGGCUUAUGCCGUUGAAUAUAUUAGCAUGGAAUAAUAAGAUAGGACCUCGGUACUAUUUGGUUGGUUUGAGAACCAAGGUAAUGAUGAAUAGGGACAGUUGGGGGUAUUCGUAUUCAGUUGUCAGAGGUGAAAUUCUUAGAUUUACGGAAGACGAACUACUGCGAAAGCAUUUACCAAGGAUGUUUGCA
This 381-nucleotide ribosomal RNA is filed under the name uncultured marine Chaetocerotaceae. Its description in RNAcentral is "SSU rRNA". It matches the Rfam family "Eukaryotic small subunit ribosomal RNA", at positions 587 to 972 of the family's 1831-position model. Lineage: Eukaryota; Bacillariophyta; Thalassiosirophyceae; Chaetocerotales; Chaetocerotaceae. The record is from RNAcentral.